AUACGUGGCUUCCAUGCCUGAGCUUUAUCCCUAUAUGCUUUCAUGGAGAUCUCUAUGUCUCUACGAAUUUCCUUUUUUCAGUUCCUUUGCCAAAACAUUUCUCAUCUUCAACUUUCUCCGUGUUGUUGCAGCAUUAAGGUUUCCGUCUGUGUUAUUGUGACUAACUUCGUGGUUAAGAAGCUACCAAAGAUGAAGCAUCAUGGAGUGUCUCCAGAUGUCUAUACUCAAUUUCAAAGGUCUCAUUAAUUAGCAGAGAAUUUUCAUUGCUCCACAGUAGAGACAACAUGGGAAGAAGAGUAGUAGACUACCCAGAUGAUGCCCACCGCACUGGAUGAUGAGACUCUCACAUCUGUGUGAAGGUACUUUUGCUGGAAUUAACACCAUUUGACUUUUCAAGUCAAAAGUUGCUAAACUUCUAAGGGUAUCUCCAUACCUUCAAAAGUUCACAAUCAAGAUUAAUAGGUAUAUUACGAGGUUCUCUAAGCAUAAAGGGGGGGAAGUGUUAACCGGACAUAUGUGAAACGUCCCCAUGAACAUAUGAAAGGCGUUAAGAUGCCAAAUGUGUCAUUGUUGAAAAUAUUGAUUCAGGAAGACACUGAUCCCGUCGUAGUCAUAUACAACCUGUUGAUAAAUGGGUGGUGUUUGCAAGGAAGUAUGCAUGAAGCAAAAGAAAUGUUGUUUCCAUGUUCAAAGGAAGAAAGUAGCCUAUGUAGUUCUGAGUUGCACAAGUACUUUUCAAUGUAAGAUGAAGCUACUUCCUAGCUCAGUGCAGAUCAUGUAUGAGCUUGCUACAACAAGGAGCAAAGUAUAGAGAUGAAACAACUGUGGUUGUGAAUUUUUUGUUGGUGAGGCAUAGUCUGUAUUUUGCAGGUAUCUGGAAGAAAUAGCCAUAUAGUGCCCUUUUGUACGAAAAACACUUUCCCUUAUAAUUUAUUUAAUUCAA
Solanum stenotomum is the source of this 943-nucleotide long non-coding RNA. RefSeq lists it as uncharacterized. The record is from RefSeq and is a predicted model, not a curated record. The transcript is spliced from 5 exons. Lineage: Eukaryota; Viridiplantae; Streptophyta; Magnoliopsida; Solanales; Solanaceae.